This 301-nucleotide ribosomal RNA is filed under the name uncultured bacterium. RNAcentral's name for it is "partial 16S ribosomal RNA". It matches the Rfam family "Bacterial small subunit ribosomal RNA", at positions 509 to 809 of the family's 1533-position model. The record is from RNAcentral.
CAGCAGCCGCGGGAAUACGAAGGGGGCUAGCGUUGUUCGGAAUUACUGGGCGUAAAGCGCACGUAGGCGGAUACUUAAGUCAGGGGUGAAAUCCCGGGGCUCAACCCCGGAACUGCCUUUGAUACUGGGUAUCUCGAGUCCGGAAGAGGUGAGUGGAAUUCCGAGUGUAGAGGUGAAAUUCGUAGAUAUUCGCAGGAACACCAGUGGCGAAGGCGGCUGACUGGUCCACAACUGACGCUGAGGUGCGAAAGCGUGGGGAGCAAACAGGAUUAGAUACCCGCGUAGUCCCUGUCUCUUAUCA